Molecule: long non-coding RNA, 2391 nt
Organism: Betta splendens (Siamese fighting fish)
Lineage: Eukaryota; Metazoa; Chordata; Actinopteri; Anabantiformes; Osphronemidae
Exons: 2
Source: RefSeq, a predicted model, not a curated record
GCUGGCCAUGGUGCUGCCCGGGAUCUGGAACUCCCCGCUGCUGGAUGCUCUCCCCUACUGUAGAUCUGAAGGAGUCAGGGGAAAGGUCGCACAGAGUAGUACCAGUCCCCGUCCAAGUGAAAUAUAGUGACAUGCACUGGAUCAUUUAACAAAGCGAAACGUGUUGCUCAUGGGAACUUCAGCAGAACAUGAAGCAUUAACUGCAGGCGUUCGCCGGCCAACAGAGACUUGGAAUCACAAUCCUGUAACCGAUUUAAAAACCACGGCAGGUGAUCUGGAGCGGAGAUUUGAACAUUUUAUUCCGCUGUUCAUCCCUCGCUCGCUCCACUUUUCCCGUUGGAUUCAAUUCAUUUUCCCCUCCGCGCUCUCAGAGAGGCAAACGCAAACAAACACACGCCCAGAAUGUAGCGGAACAUGUGUCCAGGCUCCCGCUCCAUCUGGUCCAUUGAGAAAACCGUUCCUCACACAGCAGCGGGGGGUGUGAGAGGGGAAGCGAAUGCAGCACAAACCGUCCUGAAACACUGACCACACUGGAUUUCACUUUGGUUUCCAACACACAAUUAUUCACCAAGAGUAAUGUCCAAAAACAAUAAAAAGUAAAUCCAUUCUACUGACUGCGCUGGAGCAGUAGAAGGUAGUCGUACUCACAUUAAGGGGAGUGACAACAUUAAUUAAUUGUGUUUUAGCUCAUAAUCUGCUCAGUGAACGGACAUCUGGUAGCGGAAAAAGCUGUUUUAACAGAGAGGGAGAGAACAGACUAAAUACUGAGCUCUGAUCAAAAUCAAUACUGAGCAGCAGCGCAAGAAUGUCUACAGUUAAUACAUGUAGAGUAUGUUUUAGGACAACAGGAAACAUAUGAGGGUGGAUUGGGUUUGAGUAUACCUUCAAACACAGGCCAGCUGGCUGGGGAGCGGACAUGAACACUGUGUGCUGUGCAAACAAGGCAAAGGAAACCUAUUUGGAAGACAAAAGGAUUAGUUUAGAUACUGUGAACUGUGUUGAUUAAAAGUAAAUAGGAAAACUAGUUGUCAUACGUAAUUUGUUUGCACUAAAGCAACAAAAAAUGUCUAAAAUGUUUUGCUAUGCUGUGUGACAGCCAACAUAUUGGUGUAGUGGAACCAGACAUGCGUUGUGCUGCAGGGACAGGUCUCCGCGUUCCUGGAAGCAGCCAGCGCCGUUUACUCCUCGAAUGUCUCUAGCCGCAUGCACCUGAUGAGGAAGCUCCGUGGUUCUGUGGGAAAUGACAGCUAUGAAUGUAUAAACUGUAUUUAUGUCCCAUUUAUCUGGAACAUCACUUACUGUGUUUGUCUAAAGCCCUAUGAAUCACAGUAAAGAGUAGGAAAUCAAGCAUUUUUUUCCUAAAAUACUGCUGAAGGUGUAAUGAUUAAUUAAACUGAAAUUAAACAAGGCAAAGUGGAAUAUAGGACUCAGUGACAAUCACAGGGGAAUUCUUAGGGCCUGGGGGCUUGAGAAUAUUUCAUAAGCACUUCAGGAUUUGCUUUGUUUAGGUCCAAGGAAGUGAUCAUUUUAUUGUACUAAAAUAUUAAGAUCCCCUGCCUCCUGGGAUAUAUUAACUGUCAUGUGACUGUCCAGCAGUUUUAUGGUCAAAUAAAUUGAUCCUAUUACAGCUAUAUGUAGCAUUUAUAAAUAUGUAAUAGUACAGAUUUAUUUACUUUGCUGUACAGUAUAUUGUAUAUACUGAAUGCGUCCUACGCAUUCGGAGCAAAUUCAACAAAUCGGCUCAUCAGCUGGUUGCUCUCGUCAGACCAUUUCUGGGCCAGUGCUUGGCUAGAUGCUACUGUACGUGCCAAAGCGGCCGCACUCACGGUUUCCUAGCACAACACUGACCACAGCUUCACCCCGCCUUGGCUGGAUUGCCUUCCUCCCAUAGCACAUCAUGUGCCAUGUGUUCCCCAGAUAAGUGCAACACACACAAGUCAUCCACAUAAGACCAGGCCGCCCUCUUCAAAUGCAUGUGCUUCUGAUCAUGCCCACACUUUCUGAGGAGAGCAGGGGUCAGUGACUAUGACUGGACUGUAGAUUUGCAGCCCCCAAGGUGAUGCACUGUGUAUUAUGACUUUCUAUCACAACAGUAUUAGGUUUCUCAGCAAUAUGAGCCAGCCCUCACUUCCCAAAUGCAACAGUGAGCUUCGGCCGCCCUGUCUCUGAAGAGAUAGUUCUAUUCACCUCACCUUCAUGGGUCAGAAUGUAAUGGUCUGUGUACUUCUGUAGUCAAUAAAAAGUCACAGAUAUUAACUUGGCAUAAAAAGCAGAUUAACUUUGUUCUGCAACGGAAUCGUAAUACUGUAAGUAGUGUUGAAGCUAUUUUAAUUUGCUAAAAAAUCUUGUCUUUUUCCUGUGCCUGGCACAAUAAAGUUUGUCUCUAGCAAA